RNAcentral lists this long non-coding RNA (234 nucleotides) under Sparus aurata (gilthead seabream). RNAcentral's name for it is "lncRNA (ENSSAUG00010015697.1)". The record is from RNAcentral. Lineage: Eukaryota; Metazoa; Chordata; Actinopteri; Spariformes; Sparidae.
AUGAAGGCAGUGAAUGAUUCUGAAUGUGGCCACCGUGAUUUGUUCCUCAGGAUGAAGGGUGUUAUGAUCUUUCUGGUGUUGACGCUGGUCGUCCUCAUGGCUGAACCUGGGGAGAGUCGUUCUCCACGUCGAGGAAUCCCAUGCAGAUUGACACCUAGAGCAUUUGGAUGUGGACAGGAAAGAUCCCAAGAUAAAGUCGACAACGAUAACCUGAGGCGAUACUAUGAAGACUGA